Transfer RNA from Felis catus (domestic cat), 85 nucleotides. It matches the Rfam family "tRNA". From Rfam's summary of the family: Transfer RNA (tRNA) molecules are approximately 80 nucleotides in length. NCBI's taxonomy places the organism in Eukaryota, Metazoa, Chordata, Mammalia, Carnivora, Felidae. The record is from Rfam.
GCCUGGGUGGCUCAGUUGGUUGAGCAUCUGAAUUUGGCUCAGGUCAUGAUCUCACGGCUCGUGAGUUCGAGCCCCGCAUCGGGCU